AAUAGAUACCCGGGUAGUCCACGCCGUAAACGAUGAGUGCUAAGUGUUAGAGGGUUUCCGCCCUUUAGUGCUGCAGCUAACGCAUUAAGCACUCCGCCUGGGGAGUACGGUCGCAAGACUGAAACUCAAAGGAAUUGACGGGGGGCCCGCACAAGCGGUGGAGCAUGUGGUUUAAUUCGAAGCAACGCGAAGAACCUUACCAGGUCUUGACAUCCUCUGACAACUCUAGAGAUAGAGCGUUCCCCUUCGGGGGACGGAGUGACAGGUGGUGCAUGGUUGUCGUCAGCUCGUGUCGUGAGAUGUUGGGUUAAGUCCCGCAACGAGCGCAACCCUUGAUCUUAGUUGCCAGCAUUUAGUUGGGCACUCUAAGGUGACUGCCGGUGACAAACCGGAGGAAGGUGGGGAUGACGUCAAAUCAUCAUGCCCCUUAUGACCUGGGCUACACACGUGCUACAAUGGAUGGUACAAAGGGCCGCAAGACCGCGAGGUCAAGCCAAUCCCAUAAAACCCAUUCUCAGUUCGGAUUGUAGG
This 531-nucleotide ribosomal RNA is filed under the name uncultured bacterium. RNAcentral's name for it is "bacterial SSU rRNA". It matches the Rfam family "Bacterial small subunit ribosomal RNA", at positions 777 to 1304 of the family's 1533-position model. The record is from RNAcentral.